This 328-nucleotide RNase P RNA is filed under the name pig gut metagenome. RNAcentral describes it as "Bacterial RNase P class B". It matches the Rfam family "Bacterial RNase P class B". Rfam says of the family: Ribonuclease P (RNase P) is a ubiquitous endoribonuclease, found in archaea, bacteria and eukarya as well as chloroplasts and mitochondria. Its best characterised activity is the generation of mature 5'-ends of tRNAs by cleaving the 5'-leader elements of precursor-tRNAs. The record is from RNAcentral.
CGGAUAAUUACUGCUUAUUUAUUAAGUAGAGGAAAGUCCAUGCUCGCACUGACUGAGAUGUCAGUAGUGAUUGCGCUAGUAUAAUUAAUAAAGCUAGGGAUGUAGGAGUGCAUCACGGCGGAUAUUAUUUCUAAAGAUUUAUCCAUGAAAUAAUUCCAUAAAGCGCCACAGAGACGAGAUUAUUGGAAACAAUAAUGAUGAAACGUUGGUAAGCCCCACAAGCGAGAAACCUAAAAUUUGGUAAGGGAAGCGACUAAGGAGAAAUGAAUCUAAGGUUGCAUGCAUAUGCAUAGAUAAAUUAUUAUCCUCGACAAAACAUGGCUUAUAG